CCUACGGGGGGCUGCAGUGGGGAAUAUUGGACAAUGGGGGCAACCCUGAUCCAGCCAUGCCGCGUGUGUGAAGAAGGCCCUCGGGUUGUAAAGCACUUUCAGUGAGGAAGAACGCCUGGUGGUUAAUACCCAUCAGGAAAGACAUCACUCACAGAAGAAGCACCGGCUAACUCCGUGCCAGCAGCCGCGGUAAUACGGAGGGUGCGAGCGUUAAUCGGAAUUACUGGGCGUAAAGCGCGCGUAGGUGGCUUGAUAAGCCGGUUGUGAAAGCCCCGGGCUCAACCUGGGAACGGCAUCCGGAACUGUCAAGCUAGAGUGCAGGAGAGGAAGGUAGAAUUCCCGGUGUAGCGGUGAAAUGCGUAGAGAUCGGGAGGAAUACCAGUGGCGAAGGCGGCCUUCUGGACUGACACUGACACUGAGGUGCGAAAGCGUGGGUAGCAAACAGGAUUAGAUACCCCAGUUC
This 463-nucleotide ribosomal RNA is filed under the name Vreelandella stevensii. Its description in RNAcentral is "partial 16S ribosomal RNA". It matches the Rfam family "Bacterial small subunit ribosomal RNA", at positions 338 to 796 of the family's 1533-position model. The record is from RNAcentral. Lineage: Bacteria; Pseudomonadati; Pseudomonadota; Gammaproteobacteria; Oceanospirillales; Halomonadaceae.